UCUGUCUGUCUGUCUGUCUGUCUGUCUGUCUGUCUGUCACAACGACCACGCCCCCUUCUGGGUGAAAGCAGCUGUAUAAGUUCCUAAAAGUUUUACACAUCAAACAAUAAAAAACUUUAUUUACUUUCUUGAUGGACAGACAGUCAGUGAGUGUGUCUGUGUCCAACUCUUCCUCACAGGUUAGUUAAUGACAGACAGUCAGUGAGUGUGUCUGUGUCCAACUCUUCCUCACAGGUUAGUUAAUGACAGACAGUCAGUGAGUGUGUCUGUGUCCAACUCUUCCUCACAGGUUAGUUAAUGACAGACAGUCAGUGAGUGUGUCUGUGUCCAACUCUUCCUCACAGGUUAGUUAAUGAUGUUACUGAGUCAAUGUGAGCAGAUUGUGUCUGUAGAUUGAAGAGAAUCAGAGUCUCACUGAUGGUGGAAAUAAAGGUUUUACUUCCUUAAAACA
This is a long non-coding RNA of Dicentrarchus labrax (European seabass), 451 nucleotides long. RefSeq lists it as uncharacterized. NCBI's taxonomy places the organism in Eukaryota, Metazoa, Chordata, Actinopteri, Moronidae. The transcript has 2 exons. The record is from RefSeq and is a predicted model, not a curated record.